AUUGAACGCUGGCGGCAUGCCUUACACAUGCAAGUCGAACGGCAGCACGGGUGCUUGCACCUGGUGGCGAGUGGCGAACGGGUGAGUAAUACAUCGGAACAUGUCCUGUAGUGGGGGAUAGCCCGGCGAAAGCCGGAUUAAUACCGCAUACGAUCUACGGAUGAAAGCGGGGGACCUUCGGGCCUCGCGCUAUAGGGUUGGGCGAUGGCUGAUUAGCUAGUUGGUGGGGUAAAGGCCUACCAAGGCGACGAUCAGUAGCUGGUCUGAGAGGACGAUCAGCCACACUGGGACUGAGACACGGCCCAGACUCCUACGGGAGGCAGCAGUGGGGAAUUUUGGACAAUGGGCGAAAGCCUGAUCCAGCAAUGCCGCGUGUGUGAAGAAGGCCUUCGGGUUGUAAAGCACUUUUGUCCGGAAAGAAAUCCUUGGCCCUAAUACGGUCGGGGGAUGACGGUACCGGAAGAAUAAGCACCGGCUAACUACGUG
Molecule: ribosomal RNA, 486 nt
Filed under: uncultured bacterium
Lineage: Bacteria
Description: partial 16S ribosomal RNA
Rfam family: Bacterial small subunit ribosomal RNA
Source: RNAcentral